AUACUCUGGUUUCUCUUCAGAUCGCAUAAAUCUUUUGACGUUAACUAGAUAUUUCCAUGGAGAGGAACAAUUCUGAGUUUUGAGCCAAUUUUUUGAGGCCUUGCACAUGCAAGGCU
This is a small nuclear RNA of Suncus etruscus (white-toothed pygmy shrew), 116 nucleotides long. RefSeq annotates it as U5 spliceosomal RNA. The record is from RefSeq and is a predicted model, not a curated record. The transcript has a single exon. Lineage: Eukaryota; Metazoa; Chordata; Mammalia; Eulipotyphla; Soricidae.